CUUGUUUCAUGCUUGCUUACAUUAUUCAGAAGCAUUUUGCAUCUUCACCUGAAUUGGCUGAAGAGGCAUUGUCCAGCCAUCUGUAAAGGCAAGAGUGACAGCUUAUACCACUGAUUUUAAGAGUAGGGGAAGAUGAACAGACACAUAGAGAUGGAUGGGUGAAGUGAAGUAGAAUAUUACUGAAUAAUCUUCAACCUUGAAUGAGGAAAAUGAGAUACAGGAUGCCUAAUGUUUCAUUGACAUCCAUGAAAAAAGACAUGAAAACAUCCAAAUCUCCCUCAGUGGAAGAAAGUUAAGGGGACCACAUGCAAAACCACAGCUCCACUGAGCAUGGUGACCCUGGCAGGACAACAGGGAUCCCAUCCGUGCACCUGUCCUUGUGUGGCCAGAGGGAGAGGCUGUGCCUGGUGCAUCAAGAAGAAAAUCAUGUUUGGAACUACAUGUUAUACAUUAAAUGUGACACAAGAGAGAUGAAUUAUGCAGUAAAUUCUGUGUGUGCUGAUCAGCACAAAGCCCAAGACACAUUCAGCAGAGUUGCUGUGAAGAUCUGUAAUGAGUUUCAAGUACAUCAUUUCCUGAUGGAGGGAAGCUAUUCCAUAAUGAGUUUGAUAUGA
Molecule: long non-coding RNA, 614 nt
Filed under: Cyanistes caeruleus (blue tit)
Lineage: Eukaryota; Metazoa; Chordata; Aves; Passeriformes; Paridae
Description: lncRNA (ENSCCEG00000000884.1)
Source: RNAcentral